This 340-nucleotide ribosomal RNA is filed under the name uncultured bacterium. RNAcentral's name for it is "bacterial SSU rRNA". It matches the Rfam family "Bacterial small subunit ribosomal RNA", at positions 32 to 353 of the family's 1533-position model. The record is from RNAcentral.
AAUCAACGCUGGCGGCGUGCCUAACACAUGCAAGUCGAACGCGAAAGCCCCUUCGGGGGUAAGUAGAGUGGCGUCCGGGUGAGUAACACGUAGGUAAUCUACCUUCGGGUGGGGAAUAACUCGCCGAAAGGCGAGCUAAUACCGCAUAAUGCAGCGGCACCUAAUGGUGAUUAGUUGUUAAAGCGGGGGAUCGUAAGACCUCGCGCCUGAAGAGGAGCCUGCGGCAGAUUAGCUAGUUGGGAGGUAAUGGCUCACCAAGGCUUCGAUCUGUAGCUGGUCUGAGAGGACGGCCAGCCACACUGGCACUGACACACGGGCCAGACUCCUACGGGAGGCAGCA